UAGUCAGUAAUCUACUUUUAAAAAAAAGUCGUGAUAUAGAGAAGAUUAGCAUGGCUCCUGCGCAAGGAUGACACGCUUAAACCUAGAAUUGGUCCAUAUUUUU
This is a small nuclear RNA of Corylus avellana, 103 nucleotides long. The record is from RefSeq and is a predicted model, not a curated record. NCBI's taxonomy places the organism in Eukaryota, Viridiplantae, Streptophyta, Magnoliopsida, Fagales, Betulaceae.